This 117-nucleotide small nuclear RNA is filed under the name Schistosoma mattheei. Its description in RNAcentral is "U5 spliceosomal RNA". It matches the Rfam family "U5 spliceosomal RNA". Rfam says of the family: U5 RNA is a component of both types of known spliceosome. Lineage: Eukaryota; Metazoa; Platyhelminthes; Trematoda; Strigeidida; Schistosomatidae. The record is from Rfam by way of RNAcentral.
UAACUCCGGUGUCUCCUCAUUUGCGGAUAAAUCUUUCGCCCUUUACUAAAGGUUUCCGUGGGGAGGCACAAUACAAUGAGUCAUCUCAUUUUUUCCAACUCCGUCUUUGCACGGAGU